CCUACGGGUGGCAGCAGUAAGGAAUAUUGGUCAAUGGAGGAACCUCUGAACCAGCCAUCCCGCGUGAAGGAUGAAGGGGCUCUGCCUUGUAAACUUCUUUUGUCUGGGGCGAAAAAGCUCGAUUUAUCGAGAACUGACGGUACCAGAAGAAUAAGCACCGGCUAACUCCGUGCCAGCAGCCGCGGUAAUACGGAGGGUGCAGGCGUUAUCCGGAAUCACUGGGUUUAAAGGGUGCGUAGAAGGCUUAGGAGAAAGGCUUGGGCUUAACCAUGGAAGUGGCAUUGAUACUGCAGAGCUUGAAGGAGGUUGAGGUUGGCGGAAUGUGACAUGUAGCGGUGAAAUGCUUAGAUAUGUCAUGGAACACCGAUUGCGAAGGCAGCUGACUGGACCUAUAUUGACGCUGAGGCACGAAAGCGUGGGGAGCGAACAGGAUUAGAUACCCCUGUAGUC
This 450-nucleotide ribosomal RNA is filed under the name uncultured bacterium. Its description in RNAcentral is "partial 16S ribosomal RNA". It matches the Rfam family "Bacterial small subunit ribosomal RNA", at positions 338 to 795 of the family's 1533-position model. The record is from RNAcentral.